ACUGGGACCUAUACACGGCCCAGACUCCUACGGGAGGCAGCAGUGGGGAAUUUUCCGCAAUGGGCGCAAGCCUGACGGAGCCCUACCGCGUGAGGGAGGAAGGCCUUUGGGUUGUAAACCUCUUUUCUUAAGGAAGAAGAUCUGACGGUACUUAAGGAAUCAGCAUCGGCUAACUCCGUGCCAGCAGCCGCGGUAAUACGGAGGAUGCAAGCGUUAUCCGGAAUUAUUGGGCGUAAAGCGUCCGCAGGCGGCAUUAUAAGUCUGCUGUCAAAGACCGCAGCUCAACUGCGGAAAGGCAGUGGAAACUGUAAAGCUAGAGUACGGUAGGGGUAGAGGGAAUUCCCAGUGUAGCGGUGAAAUGCGUAGAUAUUGGGAAGAACACCAGUGGCGAAAGCGCUCUACUGGGCCGUAACUGACGCUCAGGGACGAAAGCUAGGGGAGCGAAAGGGAUUAGAUACCCCUGUAGUCCUAGCUGUAAACGAUGGAUACUAGGCGUAGCUUGUAUCGACCCGAGCUGUGCCGAAGCUAACGCGUUAAGUAUCCCGCCUGGGGAGUACGCACGCAAGUGUGAAACUCAAAGGAAUUGACGGGGGCCCGCACAAGCGGUGGAGUAUGUGGUUUAAUUCGAUGCAACGCGAAGAACCUUACCAGGGCUUGACAUGUCGCGAAUCUAGGGGAAACUUUAGAGUGCCUUCGGGAACGCGAACACAG
RNAcentral lists this ribosomal RNA (711 nucleotides) under uncultured cyanobacterium. RNAcentral's name for it is "bacterial SSU rRNA". It matches the Rfam family "Bacterial small subunit ribosomal RNA", at positions 312 to 1037 of the family's 1533-position model. Lineage: Bacteria; Bacillati; Cyanobacteriota. The record is from RNAcentral.